Molecule: transfer RNA, 86 nt
Filed under: Candidatus Latescibacterota bacterium
Lineage: Bacteria; Pseudomonadati; Candidatus Latescibacterota
Description: tRNA-Tyr
Rfam family: tRNA
About the family: Transfer RNA (tRNA) molecules are approximately 80 nucleotides in length. Their secondary structure includes four short double-helical elements and three loops (D, anti-codon, and T loops).
Source: RNAcentral
GGGGGGAUACUCAAGUGGCCAACGAGGAUAGACUGUAAAUCUAUUGGCUUAUGCCUUCGCAGGUUCGAAUCCUGCUCCCCCCACCA